GAAGGUAUAGCUCAGUGGCAGAGCGUGUGCUUAGCAUGCAUGAGGUCCUGGGUUCAAUUCCCAGUACCUCUG
RNAcentral lists this transfer RNA (72 nucleotides) under Camelus bactrianus (Bactrian camel). It matches the Rfam family "tRNA". Rfam says of the family: Transfer RNA (tRNA) molecules are approximately 80 nucleotides in length. Their secondary structure includes four short double-helical elements and three loops (D, anti-codon, and T loops). Further hydrogen bonds mediate the characteristic L-shaped molecular structure. tRNAs have two regions of fundamental functional importance: the anti-codon, which is responsible for specific mRNA codon recognition, and the 3' end, to which the tRNAs corresponding amino acid is attached (by aminoacyl-tRNA synthetases). tRNAs cope with the degeneracy of the genetic code in two manners: having more than one tRNA (with a specific anti-codon) for a particular amino acid; and 'wobble' base-pairing, i.e. permitting non-standard base-pairing at the 3rd anti-codon position. Lineage: Eukaryota; Metazoa; Chordata; Mammalia; Artiodactyla; Camelidae. RNAcentral also lists the same sequence under 2 other names. The record is from Rfam by way of RNAcentral.